CCUACGGGGUGCAGCAGUGAGGAAUAUUGGUCAAUGGACGAGAGUCUGAACCAGCCAAGUAGCGUGAAGGAUGACUGCCCUAUGGGUUGUAAACUUCUUUUAUAUGGGAAUAAAAUGUUCCACGUGUGGGAUUUUGUAUGUACCAUAUGAAUAAGGCUCGGCUAACUCCGUGCCAGCAGCCGCGGUAAUACGGAGGAUCCGAGCGUUAUCCGGAUUUAUUGGGUGUAAGGGGAGCGUAGGUGGAUUGUUAAGUCAGUUGUGAAAGUUUGCGGCUCAACCGGAAAAUUGCAGUUGAAACUGGCAGUCUUGAGUACAGUAGAGGUGGGCGGAAUUCGUGGUGUAGCGGUGAAAUGCUUAGAGAUCACGAAGAACUCCGAUUGCGAAGGCAGUUCACUGGACUGCAACUGACACUGAGGCUCGAAAGUGUGGGUAUCAAACAGGAUUAGAUACCCCUGUAGUC
RNAcentral lists this ribosomal RNA (460 nucleotides) under uncultured bacterium. RNAcentral's name for it is "partial 16S ribosomal RNA". It matches the Rfam family "Bacterial small subunit ribosomal RNA", at positions 338 to 795 of the family's 1533-position model. The record is from RNAcentral.